AUUCAAUAAAUGAGUCCUACUCCUACACCUACUCUUAUCACUUGUAAUCCAAAAAAGCUCCAUUUCUUUCUUAUACGCUAAUUCACUAUUAAAUAGAAAUGUAUAUGCAAAACAGCGAGAAAUUUGUAGAUACGUUGAAUGUUGUUGCUUUCACAUUUGCAACUCUUAGUAGUUGUUCAAAACAACAAUGUCGAGCAAAGAUGUUUGCGAUGUUUGAAUGAUUCUUGGAUUGUAUUUGGAUUCCAUCGGUACUAUGGCCUGUUGAUUCGGCACCUUUGUCAUUUUAGCAACUUUUGUUUUCUUUUCUGUGUCGAUGUAGUUCUCUAUACCAUAUUCAUGUUCAUAUUCAUGUUCAUAUUCAUGUUCAUAUCAAUGUCCAUAUCAAUGUCCAUAUCAAUUUCCCAUGUUCCAUUACAUAUCCCGUGUUCUUUCCUUCUUCCAGCUUUUACAUGCUAGCCUUUUAUACAAUGAUUCCUCUCAUCUCGACUCGCUUGAUGAAUGGGCGUUUAGUUUUUGCAACAACAUAUGCGUUGGGUUAUCUCAUAUCGGGAAACACUUUCUGCCACUUUUAACUUGAACAAAGUUGGAGAAAUAAAGUGAUGGCAGAUAUUGCAAGUUGUUUAUAGUGUGCCUGUAGAAAUGUAAAAACGCCUAUGUUUCGUGAAUGCCCAGCCUGNAAAUCGAAAUAAGAUUUCGUAUUUAUUAAGCAUUGGAAGAUCACAAUUGGAAAAAACACGAUACGGGUGGUCCNCUUCCCAGGUCGUUCUCCAG
Molecule: small RNA, 771 nt
Filed under: Schizosaccharomyces pombe (fission yeast)
Lineage: Eukaryota; Fungi; Ascomycota; Schizosaccharomycetes; Schizosaccharomycetales; Schizosaccharomycetaceae
Description: small heterochromatic RNA precursor
Source: RNAcentral